GCAAGCGUUGUCCGGAAUUAUUGGGCGUAAAGAGCUCGUAGGCGGUUUGUCGCGUCUGCUGUGAAAACGCGAGGCUUAACCUCGCGCCUGCAGUGGGUACGGGCAGACUAGAGUGCGGUAGGGGAGACUGGAAUUCCUGGUGUAGCGGUGGAAUGCGCAGAUAUCAGGAGGAACACCGGUGGCGAAGGCGGGUCUCUGGGCCGUUACUGACGCUGAGGAGCGAAAGCAUGGGGAGCGAACAGG
RNAcentral lists this ribosomal RNA (243 nucleotides) under uncultured bacterium. Its description in RNAcentral is "partial 16S ribosomal RNA". It matches the Rfam family "Bacterial small subunit ribosomal RNA", at positions 534 to 776 of the family's 1533-position model. The record is from RNAcentral.